AAACAUCUCUUCUAGUUAUUUUUGAAGUCACCCCUGCUCACUGAUUUAAAGAGCUGCAGUAUUCCAACUGUACUAAGGUAGCAUAAUAAUUUGCCCUCUAAUUAAGGGCUUGAAUGAAAGGUACGACGUGAAACUAACUUUUCCUUUUACAGUAAAAAAUUAUACGGUGGGUAAAAAUACUCACAUAAAUUUAAAGGACGAUAAGACCCUAUAAAAUUUAACUUCUUUAUUUUAGUCUAGGUUUUAAGUGGUUGAAGUUUUGCUGGGACGGCUAAAAUUAAAUAUCUAUUUUUGUUUAGACGGUAAUUUGCGAAAAUUAGGACCCGUAGUAGACUUAAGAUUAAAUUACUUUAGGGGUAACAGCGUAAUUUUUCUUAAAGUUCUUAUUAAAAGAAAAGAUUGCGACCUCGAUGUUGAAUUGGGGAAAUUGUAGGGCGCAAAAGC
This 444-nucleotide ribosomal RNA is filed under the name Leucon nasica. RNAcentral's name for it is "partial large subunit ribosomal RNA". It matches the Rfam family "Bacterial large subunit ribosomal RNA", at positions 1811 to 2562 of the family's 2925-position model. Lineage: Eukaryota; Metazoa; Arthropoda; Malacostraca; Cumacea; Leuconidae. The record is from RNAcentral.